Molecule: ribosomal RNA, 253 nt
Filed under: uncultured bacterium
Lineage: Bacteria
Description: partial 16S ribosomal RNA
Rfam family: Bacterial small subunit ribosomal RNA
Source: RNAcentral
UACAGAGGUCUCAACCGUUGUUCGGAUUCAUUGGGCGUAAAGAGUGCGUAGGCGGUUCGUUAUGUCUGCUGUGAAAGCCCCGGGCUUAACCCGGGAAUGGCAGUGGAAACUGGCGGGCUUGAGUGUGGCAGAGGGGGGUGGAAUUCCGCGUGUAGCAGUGAAAUGCGUAGAGAUGCGGAGGAACACCGAUGGCGAAGGCAGCCCCCUGGGCUAACACUGACGCUGAGGCACGAAAGCGUGGGGAGCAAACAGG